This 253-nucleotide ribosomal RNA is filed under the name uncultured bacterium. RNAcentral describes it as "partial 16S ribosomal RNA". It matches the Rfam family "Bacterial small subunit ribosomal RNA", at positions 524 to 776 of the family's 1533-position model. The record is from RNAcentral.
UACGUAGGGGGCAAGCGUUGUCCGGAAUCAUUGGGCGUAAAGAGCGUGUAGGCGGUCCGGUAAGUCGGCUGUGAAAGUCCAGGGCUCAACCCUGGGAUGCCGGUCGAUACUGCCGGACUAGAGUUCGGAAGAGGCGAGUGGAAUUCCCGGUGUGGCGGUGAAAUGCGCAGAUAUCGGGAGGAACACCUAUGGCGAAGGCAGCUCGCUGGGACGUUACUGACGCUGAGACGCGAAAGCGUGGGGAGCAAACAGG